Molecule: long non-coding RNA, 705 nt
Filed under: Amborella trichopoda
Lineage: Eukaryota; Viridiplantae; Streptophyta; Magnoliopsida; Amborellales; Amborellaceae
Description: long non-coding RNA (ATRI_LNC000356)
Source: RNAcentral
CUAAAAAAAACACUACAAAGAGUUAUCAUAGACGUUAAUUUAAAAAGCCCAAAAGAUCAGAGGAACAAACCCUAAAAAGUGAAUGAAAAAAAAUUAAAAAGCCCAAAAGAUCGAGGAACAAACCCUAAAAAUUGAAUAAAAAGAAUUUAAAAAGCCCAAAAGAUCGAGGAACAAACCCUAAAAAUUGAAGAAAAAAAAGCGCUUGAAAUAUAUUUCUUUCAUCUAAUGAAAGAAAAUUGCACAUCGCAGAGAUAAACCUUUAGGAAGAUAUACCUUGAUUUAAAAAGCUCAAAAGAUCGUAGGAACAAAACCUAAAAAUUGAAUAAAAAAAAAAUUUAAAAAGCCCAAAAGAUCAAGGAACAAACCCUAGAAAUUGAAGAAAAAAAAACGCUUGAAAUAUAUAUCUUUCAUCUAAUGAAAGAAAAUUGCACAUGACAGAGAUAAACCUUUAGGAAGAUAUAAUGAACUCCUUUAAACUGAUCAGAGAAACUAAUUGAUAGAGGAGGAAGCCCAGAGCCCAAACCCCAAACCAACACCUCAACAGUCUAAGCGAGUACAAAAGAAUAAUUGAAUUUGCCCCAAUCCAAUACUUAAUAGCCCUAAGAAAGUACUAAACAGGAACCAAAUUUGCCCUAAGAAAGUACUAAACAGGAACCAAAUUUGCCUGCAAAACGCUGAAGGAAAACCCUAGAACCUACAAGAGAG